AGCCACAAGUUCAUUCUCACACGAAAGUAAACAAUUUAUUAUAAUUAAAUGGUCAUGGUAACCACAACGCAGCAACGAUCCCAAGGAAGGAAAGAGAAGUGUUGGAGAAAGUUGAAGCAUUAGGAAGAAGAAGUGAGGAAAGGUCAUUAAAGAGAAAGUUGAGAGAGCGUUGGGUUGGCAUUUAAAGCUUAUGCGCCUAAAAAACAAUAAAGGAUUUUGACCCAACUAAGUCUUUCUCAGUCUCUCUUUCUCACAGAACAUGGCAAACGACGCCGCUCUCAGAACCUCUCUGCUAUGGCUGGCAGCGGUUAUAUUGGCGGUUGGUGUAUGCACCCACUCUUUGAAGAAAAUGAUGGUCACCUAUGUCUUGGGUGUUAUUGGAAUUUCUGCACUUCUCCUUCCUGAUUGGGAUUACUUCAACCGUGAUUUCUCUCGUUGGCCUUAUCCUGUUACUGCUCAAGAAAGGGCCAAUUCUGUACAAGCCCAAGGAUCUGGAUUUCUAAGGUUUGCGAAUUCUCCUCUAAGGGUGAUUGUGUAUAGCGUGGUUUAUGGAUAUGUUAUGUACAAAUGGUGGGUGUAUGUAUCAAGCUAAUGAUUGACGACUUUGUUUAGCAGCAGCAACUGCUGAUUCUUCUGAACCCCCAAUUUUAGCUGAAAUUAUGGAUCUAUGCUUUGAAGACAAAAGACCAAGUGUAAGAGAAGUUCAAAGAGUUUCAUGCCUUAGUUGAUAGGUAGUCAAGUAAGAAGUUGAAGCACAUUCGUACUGAUAAUGGUGGUGGGUAUUGCAGAAUGUUGGAUGUUUAUUACUGUAGGCAACAUGGUAUUGCACAUGAGAAAACUCCUCCUAAAACUCCUUAGCUAGAUGGUUUAGUAAAGAGGAUGAACAAAAUAUUGAUUGAGAGAGUGAGAUGUAUGCUCUUUGAGGCUAAGUUAUCUAAGCAUUUUUGGGGUGAAACAUUGUACACGAUGAUGCUAUUGCUUUGAACAAUGAGGUGUCAAAUAAAAUUAGGUUUGGCAAGAAUGUCAAGUAUGAUCACUUAAGAGUUUUCAAUUGUAAGGAAUUUUUGCAUGUUGCAAAGGAUGAGAAAUCCAAGUUGGAUGCAAAGACAAGACAAUGUAUUUUUAUUGGUUAUGGUGAUGAUGAAUUUGGUUAUAGAUUUUAUGAUCUUGUUAAAAAGAAGUUUGUUAGAAGUCGUGAUGUGAAAUUUAUGAAAGACUAAACCAUUAAAGACAUGGAUAAGGUGGAGAAGUCUACACCCAAGGGAGAUAGUGGCAUGGCUUACGUUGAUCCAAUUCAUAAUCUAGAUACUGUUGAGAUUUGCAGGCAAUCGCACCAA
This is a non-coding RNA of Cajanus cajan (pigeon pea), 1337 nucleotides long. NCBI's taxonomy places the organism in Eukaryota, Viridiplantae, Streptophyta, Magnoliopsida, Fabales, Fabaceae. The record is from RefSeq and is a predicted model, not a curated record.